AUGUGAACACUUAGCUUCCCCAGCUCAAUCCACUCUGGGAGCACAUCCACACCUGGCUACUGCCGGAAACUGGAGGAAACUGGAGAUGCUACGUGAUUCUUACGCUUCUUGAGCCUGAAAGAUGAGUAAACCGAGGCAUGCAGCGCUUAAGUGCCUCUUCGGAAGACUGCACAGACUGCACGAUGGGACCUUCUUACCACCUGCAGGUUCCCAGGACUCUCUGGCGGGAGCGGGGGCGGAGGCGAGAGGGGGUCGCGCCCCAGGGCAGGAGAGAACUACAUCUCCCAGGAUGCCAUGCGAGGGGCGUGUAGGGGUGGAGCCGCCGCGAGCCCACGGCAGUCAUUUCUUGGUAUUUAAAAAAAGUAGCAAAAGAAAAGAAAGAAUCAAAGCCUCAAGCGUCACGUCUAGGAAUAGCGUCGGAGCCAGGCCAAGUCAUUAUAGACGAUGAGUAAUCCGGUUAAGUCAUUUCUCUAAACGCCAUUCCUUCUGCAGGAGCAAAGAGCUGAUGCUGGGAAAGAGUGAGGGCAGAAGGAGAAGAGGGCGACAGAGGAUGAGAUGGUUGGAUGGCAUCACCGAUUCAAUGGACAUGAGCUUGGGCAAACUCCAGGAGAUGGUCCAACAACAUGAGCUGGGUCCUGGUAGUGAGCUGGACACUCAUCUCUCCCUCGGUGACCCUCACGUGGACCCUUGGCAGAUAAGGUCACUGGGGCCCGGAACCUUCCCACUGGCUUCCCGCGCCAGUCCCCAAAGCGGUAGAGAGUAACUCAAGCUUACAGAUGAACGCUUGAGGCAGCCUCUGAGCAAUUUACACACGUUCACACUUGCAAUGAAUCAGGCGCUUUUGAAAUUCCCUUUUCACCAAAGGGCAGAGAGAAACCGAGAGGUUCUCAACUUCCUAAGAAGCUGCACAAGGCUCAGCCAGUCCACUAAAACAGGAAGCUCCAAGGCUCUGGAAUCAGGCCGACUGCUCCCCAGUCCUGACACCCUCACUUGCAGAUGACCUUGGAUGAAUGACUCACUAUCUCUAGUCUUCGAUUUUCCCACAUGUAAAACGGGAUUAGCAAUACCUACCUUGUGAGAUUACUGUGACGGUUAGAAAUAACGUAGACCUGUAACAAAUGGUCAUUCUGUUGUGUUGGUGUUGUGUGAAAACAGCCUCCGACCCAGCAGAUUCUGCGUGCGUCUGAGCCUGUAGAAGUAAAUGUUAAAUAACCUGCUCCCCCAAACCCAACCAUCUCUUAGCACAGCGGUCACCUUCCCUGCAUCAGGGGGCCAAGCCCUUGGCACACCCCUGGCUCCUCUGCACAGUCCUGCCUGUGUGCACCCCAAGCCCUGGCCUUAGCGACCUGAGCUGGACCCUGAGACCCCCCACCUGACCAGGUUUUCUAGGUUUACAGGUAGUAGCUUCAAGGUCCUGAGCUCCCCAGUUGGGGUCUUCACAUUUGGCCGGGAUGUUGGGAGGAAUUAUGGUCGAGGUGAAUGAUGUAGCUCUAACCUGAGCGGAUCCAUUAACCCCUUCCAUGCUGGAA
This is a long non-coding RNA of Bubalus bubalis (water buffalo), 1529 nucleotides long. RefSeq lists it as uncharacterized. Lineage: Eukaryota; Metazoa; Chordata; Mammalia; Artiodactyla; Bovidae. The transcript has 4 exons. The record is from RefSeq and is a predicted model, not a curated record.